Molecule: ribosomal RNA, 440 nt
Filed under: uncultured bacterium
Lineage: Bacteria
Description: partial 16S ribosomal RNA
Rfam family: Bacterial small subunit ribosomal RNA
Source: RNAcentral
CCUACGGGAGGCAGCAGUCGGGAAUCUUGGACAAUGGGCGAAAGCCUGAUCCAGCAACGCCGCGUGGGCGACGAAGCCCUUCGGGGUGUAAAGCCCUUUUGCCGGGGACGAGGAAGGACGGUACCCGGUGAAAAAGUCCCGACCAACUACGUGCCAGCAGUCGCGGUAAAACGUAGGGGGCAAGCGUUAUCCGGAUUUACUGGGCGUAAAGGGCGUGUAGGUGGCUCGGCAAGUUGGUCGUGAAAGCUCCCGGCCCAACUGGGAGAGGCCGACCAAUCCUGUCGAGCUAGAGGGCAGCAGGGGAGAGUGGAAUUCCCGGUGGAGCGGUGAAAUGCGUAGAUAUCGGGAGGAACACCAGUGGCGAAGGCGGCUCUCUGGGCUGUUCCUGACGCUGAGGCGCGAAAGCGUGGGCAGCGAACCGGAUUAGAUCCCCCUGUAGU